GGGGGGGGGGGGCUAGGAUGAAAUUUGAAAAAAAUAGGCAAGACAGGAGUUUUGAGUAAAAAAAAAGGCAGGAUGAGACACUUGCAAACAAAAAAGUCAGGACGACAAUUAAGGUAAAAAAAAAGUCAGGAUAAACUAAAAAAAAAAAAGGCAGGACCGAACAGAGUGAAAAAUAAAAAGGCAGGACAGAGAUUACUGCUAAAAAAAAAUGCAGGACAAAAUUUUUCAUCCUAGCCCCCCCCCCAAAAAAAGGUAAACAUACACUAUGACGUGCCAUGAUUCAAUUAACUGAAUAUAAUUAUGAAAUUAAAACAGACAAAGAAAAUAGUCUUGAUAUGUGUCGCACAGACAUUACAAAAGAAAGCGUAAUAUAUCAAAAUAAACAAAUUAACGUAUUUACAUUGGACAUAAAUUUUGAUGCGUAAUAAUCCUACUGAAUGAGUAAAACUCUUUU
This 454-nucleotide long non-coding RNA is filed under the name Mytilus galloprovincialis (Mediterranean mussel). Lineage: Eukaryota; Metazoa; Mollusca; Bivalvia; Mytilida; Mytilidae. The record is from RNAcentral.